AGCAGCGUGGCUUAGUGGAAAGAGACUGGGCUUUGGAGUCAGAGGUCAUGGGUUCGAAUCCCAGCUCUGCCA
This 72-nucleotide transfer RNA is filed under the name Ornithorhynchus anatinus (platypus). It matches the Rfam family "tRNA". Rfam says of the family: Transfer RNA (tRNA) molecules are approximately 80 nucleotides in length. Their secondary structure includes four short double-helical elements and three loops (D, anti-codon, and T loops). Lineage: Eukaryota; Metazoa; Chordata; Mammalia; Monotremata; Ornithorhynchidae. The record is from Rfam by way of RNAcentral.